UAUUAAGGUAAUAUAUACGAACUAAAGUUAUUUGUAUAUAUAUUCUAUUGUACAAGUAUUGUUUGAAGGAGUAAUAAUGCAGCCCAUUUUGUAAGGCCCAAAAACAUUUGGUUUGAAGAUUAGAAGAACGUGGAAACGGCUAAACUUUUGGCCGGAAAUGGCAAUUUGUGCUUCUGGUCCGUCCGGCAAAAUAGAUAAAACACUACCGGAGAUCAAUUUCCGAACAGCCGUUGUUCCUCCGGCCAACCUCCGCUCGUACUUGAGUUAUAAAAUUUAAAGGAUCAGGAAACUGUGUUCUGAUUGGCACUCCAGAUGUGAUUUUAUGCUCCUUGUCAGUCUUGAGUAUCUCUUCGAGUCGGAAUUGAUACUCUGACAUGCGUGGAUAUUGAAAAUUAUUCAUGGCUCCAGUGUCUACUCCAAGCCUGUAGCUUUCUGUCAUGGAGCUGAAAAAAGUUGCUAAGGAGAUGUUGGACCACUGGGUAUGUUUAGCCAGAACUGGCUCUAUAAAAUAUUUUUUAGCUAAUAUUCAGUUCUCCUAGUUCUUUAUUUCCAAAGAAGGUCUCCGUAUAGUUUCAGGAAAAGAAGGUUUUCGUAUAACAGUCCUUGUUUUUGGUUUUGAUAUCCUUGACCUUUGACCAUCUUGCGGAUCAUAAAUACUAAUAGAACAUCGAAGAGCACUCUGUGGGAAUACAUCAUCAUUUAUCGGUGAUGGAAAAAGGGAUCUUGUUGCACUUGGACUUUACUUGUAGGUUUCUUUCUAGGUUUUAGUAAACUGCACGUAAUAUUUCUUAUUGUCAAGUAUUUUAGAAUGGAAAUGGCUGAAAGUUGGGAUCUCUUAUAGACCAACUAUUAUUUAGACCAACUAGUGGGAUAACCUAUGAUCUACCCGUGUUCCAUGGUGGUUAUCAGAAGCCAUUGGCUAAUGAUGUUUGUACUCGUAUGUUUGUUCUCUUACCUUUUCUCACUAUUCCCCAUCACUUCCAAUUUGGAGACAGAACACUGAAAAGAUAAGAGCCUCCCACAUUCUUCCCUUGUUGCAACCAAGUCAUUGUGAAUUAUCUUGAAAGAGCUUAAUUUUAUGUUGAGAUGUUUUUUCCGGCUUAUCCAUCAACUUUGAUUCACUCCGGGGAAGUACAUGCAGAAAAAUUGGUAAAACUCUGUACUUCUGAACCGAUUUUGCUCUUCUGAUAGACAAACAGAUCUUAUUGUCCUCACCUGCAAAUUGCUACAGUACCUUGUGUGAGGUCAUUGCCUGUUUCAAGAAUAGAGAUGCUUGAUUAGACCCUGAAAGUGAAAACACUGGCAUCAUUACAUGUGCACUUGUAUUGUUCAAUGAGUUGUUGGAGGAUUUCUCUUAAGAAGACUCUUUAUCUAGGCAAAGUUAUCGUUAUGUUUCCUGUUCAUCAGCUGGGCAUUAUACACAUGAAACCAACCCCGAUUUUUCUGUAGCACUAGGUUCAAAAACGCCUAUCUACCUUUCUCUGCUUACUCUGUGACUAGGUUCAAACACUUGACUUGUGUUUCUGGGGAAAAGGACACAAGGCAACUAUCUAUGAUUUACUGUAAAGAUUUAAGGAAGGACAAGGGAGCAAAAGAAGGGAACAGCUUCAUCAGAAAAGAAGUGAACAGUCAUUGUUUAGUUGAAGGACUUGUAAUGCUAGUGUUGUUGUACUGUAAAAAAAAAAUGUGAAGACGCAGACUUCAGUAGGAUAUACGAUUAUAC
RNAcentral lists this long non-coding RNA (1723 nucleotides) under Solanum lycopersicum (tomato). RNAcentral's name for it is "partial TCONS_00066354". The record is from RNAcentral. Lineage: Eukaryota; Viridiplantae; Streptophyta; Magnoliopsida; Solanales; Solanaceae.